This 253-nucleotide ribosomal RNA is filed under the name uncultured bacterium. RNAcentral describes it as "partial 16S ribosomal RNA". It matches the Rfam family "Bacterial small subunit ribosomal RNA", at positions 524 to 776 of the family's 1533-position model. The record is from RNAcentral.
GACGUAGGGGGCCAGCGUUGUUCGGAAUUACUGGGCGUAAAGGGUUCGUAGGUGGCCACUUAAGUCAGACGUGAAAUCCCUCAGCUUAACUGGGGAACUGCGUCUGAUACUGAGUGGCUUGAGUGCAGGAGAGGAAUGCGGAAUUCCAGGUGUAGCGGUGAAAUGCGUAGAUAUCUGGAGGAACACCGGUGGCGAAGGCGGCAUUCUGGACUGUAACUGACACUGAGGAACGAAAGCCAGGGGAGCAAACGGG